GGAGGUGUGCGAGAGUUGGCUGAAUCGGGCAGUCUCGAAAACUGCUGUGCCGGAAACGGCACCGAAGGUUCGAAUCCUUCCACCUCCG
RNAcentral lists this transfer RNA (88 nucleotides) under Candidatus Moranbacteria bacterium RIFOXYA1_FULL_44_8. Its description in RNAcentral is "tRNA-Ser". It matches the Rfam family "tRNA". From Rfam's summary of the family: Transfer RNA (tRNA) molecules are approximately 80 nucleotides in length. Their secondary structure includes four short double-helical elements and three loops (D, anti-codon, and T loops). RNAcentral also lists the same sequence under 3 other names. The record is from RNAcentral. Lineage: Bacteria; Candidatus Moraniibacteriota.